Non-coding RNA from Taeniopygia guttata (zebra finch), 207 nucleotides. Lineage: Eukaryota; Metazoa; Chordata; Aves; Passeriformes; Estrildidae. The record is from RefSeq and is a predicted model, not a curated record.
UCCCUGUAAUCCAAUCCCAAAGAAACCUGGAGCUGUUCCAGCUGAGCAAUUCCAUGUUUUUCCCAGUACCUGGUUUGAUUUUCAUCACCACGGGUUUCCUGGAGCUGUCCCUCAUCUGCUGGAUGUCCAGCAGGUCCUUGGGGUUGCCGUUGUGCCGGGGCCAGCAGUACACGAACACCCUGGAGCCGCUGCUGCCGCAGUCCACCA